Molecule: ribosomal RNA, 468 nt
Filed under: uncultured bacterium
Lineage: Bacteria
Description: partial 16S ribosomal RNA
Rfam family: Bacterial small subunit ribosomal RNA
Source: RNAcentral
GACGAACGCUGGCGGCGUGCUUAACACAUGCAAGUCGAACGGAAAGGCCCUGCUUUUGUGGGGUGCUCGAGUGGCGAACGGGUGAGUAACACGUGAGUAACCUGCCCUUGACUUUGGGAUAACUUCAGGAAACUGGGGCUAAUACCGGAUAGGAGCUCCUGCUGCAUGGUGGGGGUUGGAAAGUUUCGGCGGUUGGGGAUGGACUCGCGGCUUAUCAGCUUGUUGGUGGGGUAGUGGCUUACCAAGGCUUUGACGGGUAGCCGGCCUGAGAGGGUGACCGGCCACAUUGGGACUGAUAUACGGCCGAGACUCCUACGGGAGGCAGCAGUGGGGAAUAUUGCACGAUGGGCGGAAGCCUGAUGCAGCAACGCCGCGUGCGGGAUGACGGCCUUCGGGUUGUAAACCGCUUUCGCCUGUGACGAAGCGUGAGUGACGGUAAUGGGUAAAGAAGCACCGGCUAACUACGUG